AUACGGAGGGUGCAAGCGUUAAUCGGAAUUACUGGGCGUAAAGCGUACGUAGGCGGUUAUUUAAGUCAGAUGUGAAAGCCCCGGGCUUAACUUGGGAACUGCAUUUGAAACUGGGUAACUAGAGUUUAGUAGAGGGGAGUGGAAUUUCAGGUGUAGCGGUGAAAUGCGUAGAGAUCUGAAGGAACACCAGUGGCGAAGGCGACUCCCUGGACUAAAACUGACGCUGAGGUACGAAAGCGUGGGUAGCAAACAGGAUUAGAAACCCGUGUAGUCC
This 274-nucleotide ribosomal RNA is filed under the name uncultured bacterium. RNAcentral's name for it is "partial 16S ribosomal RNA". It matches the Rfam family "Bacterial small subunit ribosomal RNA", at positions 523 to 796 of the family's 1533-position model. The record is from RNAcentral.